GUGGGGAAUCUUGCGCAAUGGGCGAAAGCCUGACGCAGCCAUGCCGCGUGAAUGAUGAAGGUCUUAGGAUUGUAAAAUUCUUUCACCGGGGACGAUAAUGACGGUACCCGGAGAAGAAGCCCCGGCUAACUUCGUGCCAGCAGCCGCGGUAAUACGAAGGGGGCUAGCGUUGCUCGGAAUUACUGGGCGUAAAGGGCGCGUAGGCGGACAGUUUAGUCAGAGGUGAAAGCCCAGGGCUCAACCUUGGAAUUGCCUUUGAUACUGGCUGUCUUGAGUACGGGAGAGGUGAGUGGAACUCCGAGUGUAGAGGUGAAAUUCGUAGAUAUUCGGAAGAACACCAGUGGCGAAGGCGACUCACUGGCCCAAUACUGACGCUGAGGCGCGAAAGCGUGGGGAGCAAACAGGAUUAGAUACCCUGGUAGUCC
RNAcentral lists this ribosomal RNA (425 nucleotides) under uncultured bacterium. Its description in RNAcentral is "partial 16S ribosomal RNA". It matches the Rfam family "Bacterial small subunit ribosomal RNA", at positions 354 to 796 of the family's 1533-position model. The record is from RNAcentral.